CAGUCGCCGCGGGAAUACGAAGGGUGCAAGCGUUACUCGGAAUUACUGGGCGUAAAGCGUGCGUAGGUGGUGGUUUAAGUCCGUUGUGAAAGCCCUGGGCUCAACCUGGGAAUUGCAGUGGAUACUGGGUCACUAGAGUGUGGUAGAGGAUAGUGGAAUUUCCGGUGUAGCAGUGAAAUGCGUAGAGAUCGGAAGGAACAUCUGUGGCGAAGGCGACUAUCUGGGCCAACACUGACACUGAGGCACGAAAGCGUGGGGAGCAAACAGGAUUAGAUACCCGCGUAGUCCCUGUCUCUUAUAU
RNAcentral lists this ribosomal RNA (301 nucleotides) under uncultured bacterium. RNAcentral's name for it is "partial 16S ribosomal RNA". It matches the Rfam family "Bacterial small subunit ribosomal RNA", at positions 509 to 809 of the family's 1533-position model. The record is from RNAcentral.